GACGAACGCUGGCGGCGUGCUUAACACAUGCAAGUCGAACGGAAAGGCCCUGCUUUUGUGGGGUGCCCGAGUGGCGAACGGGUGAGUAACACGUGAGUAACCUGCCCUUGACUUUGGGAUAACUUCAGGAAACUGGGGCUAAUACCGGAUAGGAGCUCCUGCUGCAUGGUGGGGGUUGGAAAGUUUCGGCGGUUGGGGAUGGACUCGCGGCUUAUCAGCUUGUUGGUGGGGUAGUGGCUUACCAAGGCUUUGACGGGUAGCCGGCCUGAGAGGGUGACCGGCCACCAUGGGACUGAGAUAGGGCCCAGACUCCUACGGGAGGCAGCAGUGGGGAAUAUUGCACAAUGGGCGGGAGCCUGAUGCAGCGGCGCCGCGUGCGGGAUGACGGCCUUCGGGUUGUAAACCGCUUUCGCCUGUGACGAAGCGUGAGUGACGGUAAUGGGUAAAGAAGCACCGGCUAACUACGUG
This 468-nucleotide ribosomal RNA is filed under the name uncultured bacterium. RNAcentral's name for it is "partial 16S ribosomal RNA". It matches the Rfam family "Bacterial small subunit ribosomal RNA", at positions 28 to 507 of the family's 1533-position model. The record is from RNAcentral.